AGAGUGAACGCUGGCGGUAGGCCUAACACAUGCAAGUCGAACGGCAGCACAGUAGGAGCUUGCUCUUACGGGUGGCGAGUGGCGGACGGGUGAGGAAUACAUCGGAAUCUACCUUUUGGUGGGGGAUAACGUAGGGAAACUUACGCUAAUACCGCAUACGCCCUUCGGGGGAAAGCCGGGGACCAGCAAUGGCCUGGCGCUGAUAGAUGAGCCGAUGUCGGAUUAGCUAGUUGGUGAGGUAAUGGCUCACCAAGGCGACGAUCCGUAGCUGGUCUGAGAGGAUGAUCAGCCACACUGGAACUGAGACACGGUCCAGACUCCUACGGGAGGCAGCAGUGGGGAAUAUUGGACAAGUGGGACGACAAGCCUGAUCCAGCCAUACCGGCGUGGGUGAAGAAGGCCGUUACGGUUGUAAAAGUCCCGUUUUUAGUUAGGGUAAAAGUAAAAACGCUAA
This 454-nucleotide ribosomal RNA is filed under the name uncultured soil bacterium. RNAcentral's name for it is "bacterial SSU rRNA". It matches the Rfam family "Bacterial small subunit ribosomal RNA", at positions 26 to 465 of the family's 1533-position model. The record is from RNAcentral.